AAGCAUCUAAACACAAAAUAAAAUUAUGUAUAAAUUCGCCGACAAUCUAAAAUGAUAAAUGAUAUAUAAAUUUAAUAAAUAAUUAAAAUAAUAUCCGAUAAAUUAUUUAUAAUUAAAAAAUAAAUAUAAUGAUGAUAGAGUAUUAUUGUGGUACUCUAGCAAUACCGUGUAAUAAUUAAAGCAACUAACUUAGUUUUUAGAGUAGAACUAAAUUAACUGAAUCAAACUAAUAUGAUUUGGUCAACAUUAUUGAUUUUGAACCUGUGUUACUGGAUUUCUACUUUUUGAUGGAAAUCUAAAGCUCACCAUAUAUUUACUGUGUCUAAUUUUCUGCUCUUCAAAAGACAACAAAUUGAACUAGAUUAAUUAAAAUAGAAUAAAGCAAACAUUAUACAAAGAAAAAACAUGAACAAGAUAACAAUAAUGGGCCAGCACUUGGAAAAGUGUCACAGUCCCAUUUGCUACUCUUAUUCCUGCUUCUCGUCUCCCAUUGAAGCACAGAAAUCCAGGCCCAGACUGAUGAGGGAGUGGAGCGUUGCUGGUAGAAAUGGGCCGCUGAAACUUGACGAAAACCCAAUUUAGCUCCAACCGAAGACCUUGAAGAUGGCGUAAAUUAUCCCGUUAGUACUAAUUCUUUGCCUUUUUUAUUUAGUUGGUAGAAAUGUAUAGAUCUUUUUUUUUUUUUAGUACUAAAAUUUUUAUUUUUUUAUUAAUUCAGGGUACCCAAGUAUUUUUUCAUCUGGUUUUGCUGACAUGAUAAUUAGAGAUGAAAUAUUUCUAAUUGAUUUUUGUAAAUUAUAAAUGAUAACUCGCUCAUUGAAUGAGCUAUCAACAAGAUUUCCAAAGGCUUAUCCGACUCCGAAGUACCUGCAAAGAUGGUUAGAAAGCAUCAGACAGGGUUUUCCGGUCACUUAUUCUCGUGAUUAAAUCAGUAAUUUGUGAAAGGGUGGCUUAAGUAUAGUGAGUGUGUAAAAUACAUGUACCUAUAAUCAUUGUACCAUAGUUUCUUAUAUAUACAUCAAAAGUCUCCUCAUCCUACUAGGACAGGAACUCCAUAGCUGUAGGUCGUUCUAAUUAGGGUUGAGCAUGGAUCUCGGUGAUUCCCAUCCGAACCGAAUAACCGUACAGGAAAAUACUAGAACCGAAAUAACCGAAAGUUUUUAUAACUGAAUUGAACUGAUUCGAAUUUUUUUACUAUUACAGUAUGGUACUGGUUAUUUAGUAAAAACCGUACCAUAACCGUACCAUAACCGAUCCGUCUUAUACUGAUCCGAACCAAACUGUAGAACCG
Molecule: long non-coding RNA, 1291 nt
Filed under: Ricinus communis (castor bean)
Lineage: Eukaryota; Viridiplantae; Streptophyta; Magnoliopsida; Malpighiales; Euphorbiaceae
Description: long non-coding RNA (RCOM_LNC001636)
Source: RNAcentral